UGUGUAACCUUCUCCAAAGGGCAGCGUGGAGAUGGAAAUCAGAUUAGUGGCAGUGGGGGCUGGGGAGAGUGGAGGCAGGACAGCGACUGUAGAGGGGGAUCCCAAGGGACAGCUUUACGUAGGCAUUAGGGGAAGCCAGGUGACAGGGACACAGGACACCUGUACUAGCUUUCAACAUCCUGUGAAUUGAUAUGUAUGGACUGAAUGUGCCGGCCCCAAAUCCUAUGUUGAAGCCCUAACCCCCAAGAUGAUGAGGCCUUUGGGACAUAAUGAGGCAGAGAUGACAUAAUCGGGGUGGGGUCACCACAGUGGACGAGUGCCCUUAUAAAAAGAGGAAGAGAGAGCUAUCCCCCCCUCCAAGUGCAUGCACCAGAGGAAGGCCAUGUGAGGACACAGCAAGAAGGCGGCCACCUACACGCCAAAAAGAGGGUCCUCGCCAGAAAGUGCCCACACAGGCACCUUGAUCUUGGACUUCCAGACUCCAGAACUGUGAAAACUAAAUGUCUGUUGUUUAAUGUUUAAGGCACCACUCAGUCCGUGUCAUUUUGUUGUAGCAGCCCAAGCAGACUAAGACGCUGUGAUUGUUUCAAAAUAAAAAGCUUAAGAACAAAAUAAAAUCUAAGGGUUAAUGCCAGCAAAUACCAAAACCAAAAUCAUGUGCGCUUUCAAUAGCGGGAAAAAGAUUUGCUAGAAGAAUAGAAAAUAAAUCUGGCUGAACAGAGCAGCAACCAAGACAAGUAAGAAUAAAAAGUGGGAGAGAGUGGGACUCGUUGGCGAACGAGGUCUUAAAUCCACGUGGAGGAGACCGGGCUUAUCCUUUCCCGUAGGUGUUGGUAAAAAUUCCAUCUCCUUGCCCCACAAGGAAGGUAGUCCUCCGCCGUGUUCUAGAAGUAAGGCUGAUAAAAAUUAGUUUCCUCGUGCAAUUUGCUGACAAGAACAUGGCUUCUAGUUUCAUCUCUCCUCCCGGUUUGCUCUAUAACUUUGGUCCCACUGCCCCCCUCAUCCUUGAGUUCCGUUUUCUGCAAAAAUCAAAGGUAGCGUCAUUUCUGAGAAACUUCCUGUAGAGAAUUAUAAUGUAAAACCCAGAAGUAAUGAGUCCUCUAAAAAAAAAAAAAAAGGAAUCUGUUACAGCAGCUG
Leopardus geoffroyi (Geoffroy's cat) is the source of this 1137-nucleotide long non-coding RNA. RefSeq lists it as uncharacterized. The transcript is spliced from 2 exons. The record is from RefSeq and is a predicted model, not a curated record. NCBI's taxonomy places the organism in Eukaryota, Metazoa, Chordata, Mammalia, Carnivora, Felidae.